GUCCCGGUAGCUCAGUUGGUAGAGCACCUUACGUGGUGAGCGAAAGUAACUGCCAGGAGGUCGCAGGAACGAAGCCUGCCCGGGAUU
Non-coding RNA from Meloidogyne enterolobii, 87 nucleotides. NCBI's taxonomy places the organism in Eukaryota, Metazoa, Nematoda, Chromadorea, Rhabditida, Meloidogynidae. The record is from the annotation of a GenBank genome assembly.